Long non-coding RNA from Quercus robur (English oak), 902 nucleotides. RefSeq lists it as uncharacterized. The record is from RefSeq and is a predicted model, not a curated record. The transcript is spliced from 4 exons. Lineage: Eukaryota; Viridiplantae; Streptophyta; Magnoliopsida; Fagales; Fagaceae.
AGAAGAAAGAAAUGGCAGUGGCUUCUAUUCUGAAGCUUUUAAAUUCAUUCAUGCUAUAAAGUAACAAAUCAACAAAAAGAAGAAGAGCUUAGAGAGAUUAGAGAGUUAUUACUCUACCGAAAAGGUUCUCUCUUCAGCUUCAGCCUCAGCCUCAGCCUCUGCUCCUUUGGCUUCUCCUCACGUUGAGGUUUGCAAAGGCAUCAAUGGCCUCGACAGCUCCGCCGAGACUUCUACACAUGGUUUGGGGAGCUUUUCUCCGAGUAGGACUGCUCCUCGUCCUUCUAGUAAUGUUGAUGGUCCUUAUGCUUCUUUUGCGGAGAGAUAUCCCUAUUUUCCACCAUGGAAAUAUAAAGUGAUGAAUCCUGAUGGAUUUUUAGCUUUGUGAAGUUGGACCGGCCUAAAUAUGCACAAAAUGUACCUUGGAGUGGCCCGAUUGAUGUUGAUCUUGUGGAAGAAUGUAUGAGGAUGAUUGCAGCUUUGCAAAGAGUUGCACGUGACCAAUCUUUUCAACACUCGAUAAAAGAAAUUUUACUGACCAUUAGACUAGCAAUUGCUAAUGCUCGUAUAAGAAGUUUGGAAGAAAGAAUCAGAGACUUUGAGUUUCAUGAAGGGCAACCAGGACCUCAAAUUCAUGCAAAUCAGGAACCGCAAGGUCAUGAAGAAGCUGGCUCUUCCAGGGGUGGCCCCAGGAGAUCUUCCCGUCGAAGAACUCGUGGCCCAAAUGAUGCUUGAUUGUAUUCCCCCUUUAUUCUCCAGCACAUGACAAAACAUUUCUUAGUUAGUUAACUUGUAUUAACUUUCAAAGUGAACUCCUUCAUCUUUGCUGAACUCAGUCUUGUAGAACUUUAGAAAAAGUUUAGAGUUUACCUGAUAGGACUUUGUUAUGCAAAAUUUUACACUUA